UGCCUUCCCCUCUCUCCCACUCUCUCUCUCCCUCUCGGUUCUCCCCUCUGCCGGCGCCCUGGCGUCGCCGGCGAGCGGCGCCGGCGCCGGCGCCGACCUCUCCUCUCUCUCUCGGCCUCUAUCUCUCUCCCUCUCGCGGCUCUCUCUCUCUCUCUCUCUCGGCUCUCGGCUCUCCCUCUCGCCGGCUCUCCCUCUCGGCUCUCCCCUCUGCCGGUGCUGCUUCUCGCCGGCGGUCUCGCCGCCGUCGACCGAAAAGAUUUGGAUAGAUCGUGAAAAAUGGGGUCGGAAGAGGUUACUUUCGGCGCCAAACGCCGGAAAAACCACCGCCGCCGCCGCCGGACUGCCACCGCCGUCGCCCUGCCGCCGCCGCCGGACUGCCGCCGCCGGUCAGUUUCUUGUGCUCAUAGGUAUCGGGAUUCAAGGUGUGGCUAUUGCGCAAGGUCCGGAAGGCACGGAGAGUAUUUUAUUUUAUUUUUAGAUAUUUACUUAAACGUUAAAUUCGUGUACGGAUUUUUAUUUGAAACUCGGUCUUCACAAACGGACUUUUAUUAUAGCAACCAUCUAUAUUGACUAUUACUAUUUUUUU
This is a long non-coding RNA of Salvia hispanica, 586 nucleotides long. RefSeq lists it as uncharacterized. Lineage: Eukaryota; Viridiplantae; Streptophyta; Magnoliopsida; Lamiales; Lamiaceae. The record is from RefSeq and is a predicted model, not a curated record.